This 457-nucleotide ribosomal RNA is filed under the name uncultured bacterium. RNAcentral describes it as "SSU rRNA". It matches the Rfam family "Bacterial small subunit ribosomal RNA", at positions 26 to 518 of the family's 1533-position model. The record is from RNAcentral.
AGAACGAACGCUGGCGGCAUGCCUAACACAUGCAAGUCGAACGCUUUUGGGGCUUCGGUCCCAAAGGAGUGGCGCACGGGUGAGUAGCGCGUGGGAACCUGCCCUGGAGUGGGGGAUAACCGAGGGAAACUUCGGCUAAUACCGCAUACGCCGGGAAACCGGGAAAGAUUUAUCGCUCUAGGAGGGGCCCGCGUCGGAUUAGGUAGUUGGUGGGGUAACGGCCUACCAAGCCUGUGAUCCGUAGCUGGUCUGAGAGGAUGAUCAGCCACACUGGGACUGAGACACGGCCCAGACUCCUACGGGAGGCAGCAGUGGGGAAUAUUGGACGAUGGGCGCAAGCCUGAUCCAGCAAUGCCGCGUGAGUGAUGAAGGCCUUCGGGUUGUAAAGCUCUUUCGCACGCGAGGAUGAUGACGCUAGCGUGAGAAGAAGCCCGGCUAACUUCGUGCCAGCAGCCGC